This 5632-nucleotide long non-coding RNA is filed under the name Durio zibethinus. RNAcentral's name for it is "long non-coding RNA (DZIB_LNC000625)". The record is from RNAcentral. Lineage: Eukaryota; Viridiplantae; Streptophyta; Magnoliopsida; Malvales; Malvaceae.
GAGCCUCACCGGGAGGCUUAGGCAACCUAGAGAGAUACCCUGACAAUCUAAUAGGCUGGUCCCAUUUAGGAACAGCAAGCUGCUGUUGUAUAUCCUUAGGUACAUCAAUCAAAACAGGACCUGGCCUGCCCGAGGUAGCUAAAAAGAAAGCCUCACUAACAAUCCUAGGAAUAUCAUCCACAUCAAGAACAAGAUAGUUAUGCUUUGUAAUAGACCUUGUUACCUCAACAAUAGGAGUCUCUUGGAAAGCAUCCGUACCGAUCAUUCUACGAGGGACUUGACCCGUGAUCGCCACGAGAGGGAUACUAUCAAGCAUCGCAUCAGCAAGACCACUCACCAAGUUAGUUGCCCCAGGGCCAGACGUUGCAAUGCAAACACCGGGAGGCCAGAGGAGCGCGCGUACCCCUCCGCCGCAAAGAUCCCACCUUGUUCGUGUCGUGGAAGGACAUUUCGGAUUAUUUUGGACCGGGUUAAAGCCUGGUGGAUCUCCAUGGAAGCUCCACCUGGGUAGGCAAACACGUCCUUGACCCCUUCACGUUCCAGGGCUUCCACGAGGAUAUCAGCGCCUUUUUGGGGCUCAUCAGGGGCAUAACGGGAAAUAAAAUCAUGGGAAGGGGCUGUAGUUGGGGUGACAGUGGCGGCGGCGGAUCUGGUGUUGGAACUUGACUGAGAAAGAGAGCUGGAAAUGGUGAGGGAACGGGAAGUGGUGAGCUUUCGAGGGGCUGUAGAGAAGGGAAGGAUAGAUUUGGAAAUGGGUAUUGAAGAUUUGAAGGAGGAAGUUAAAGAAGAAGGCGUAGGCAAAAUGGUGUUUGCAGUGGCAGCCGCCAUUGUCGACGAGUGGCUUGUGGCGAGGCUUUUCGUUGGUGAAUGCGGCGAGAUAGAGAGAGGGAAGGAAAUUGUGAUUUAACUUUGAUUUUUACCCAUAUUACUCUUUUGCCCUUGUUGUUUUAUUUAAAACAAUUGGAAAAAAAAAAAAAGUCAAUAAAGAACUGGAAAAUUGCAAAUGCAAAACAACCGCACAAGGCAUGGAGUUUUGAUAUUCAGGAUCCAAUUUUGACUUAAUUUAAUCACAAUUAUAAAAUUUUAAUUAUUUUUAUUUAUAUUUUUAAAAGAAAAAUUAUUUGAUAUAUUUAUCAUAAGUAAAGUUAAGAUGAUGUUACAUAUAUCAUUUCUUUUUAAAAUAUACACUAAUAAAUAUGUGUUACAUAUUAAUUUUAUUUAUAAAAUUAAAAGAUUUUAUUGUAAAUAUAUUUGGUAAUUUAUUUUUUAAAAUUGAUGUCUUUUUAUCAAAAUUUUAAAAUUUAUUUAACAUUUAAUUUUAAGUUACAUUUCAAGGAAAUGUUAUUAUACAAGUUAAUUUAAUAUCAACAAUUAAAGGUAUUUAUAGACUAGGUCAGGUUAGCUUCGAGCCAACCUCAUAUUUGACAUUAAUAAUUUAUAUGUUUGUUUAUGUCUUAUUGAACCCAAAAUUUUUUAUCUCAAAAUUUUUUCAAAUCCAACCUAAAUUAAAAAAGUAAAUCCUAAAUUCACUUAUUGAAUUUAAUUUAUAUAAUAAUUUUUUUAAAUAUGAUUAAAUUAAGUGUAAUGGGAUAAUAUUUAAUUUACACAUAUAUAAAAAAUUUUAAAUUUUAUAUAAAAUAAAAUUUAAGUUUGAUAAAAUAUAUAUAAUUUUUAUUUUUAAUUUAUAUAUAUAUGUGAAUUAAUUUUUAUAUAAUUCACAUAUAUAUAUAAAUAAAUAAUUAUAUAUAUAUGUGAAUUUGAGUCAAAUUGAAUUUGAGUUUUAAAUUUUUUUAUCUAAAAUUCGAUCUAAAAUUUAAAUGACUUAAAAUUUGUGUCCAAAUUCAUUUAAUGGGUUUUGAUUUUUUAACCAAAUUUUCUCAAAUUUUGCAUAAAGCUUUUAAUUUUGACAAAUAGCUUUGUCCUGAAUAGGUAUAUUAACAAUCUUGUAGUUUUUCCAUUUAAGUUAAAAAAAAGCAUAAAUUAUUUUUUUUUUCAAAAAUUGGAAUAAUAAGUAUGUUUUUUCUCUUGUCAUAUGUGCAUUAAUGCAAGAAACAAUAAUGUAUGUGAUAAAAUAUGCAAUUUUACAUAUUAUUAAUAAAUCAUAUGAUAAUAAUUUAUUAAUAAAUAAAUAUACAUAAAAUAAAAUUAUUUAUUUAUUAAUAAAAUAUUAUCAUUAAAUUUAUCUUAUUAAUAAAUUAUUAUUAUUUGAUUCAUUAAUAAUAUAUAAAUUUUAUAUAUUAAUAAUAUAUCAAAUAUAAAUUCAUAUAUAUAUAUAUAUAUAUAUUGGUAUCGCCUCUAUAUUAUAAUGUAAUUUAUUUUAUAGAUUCUUAUAUAUAAUUCAUAGCUUUCUUUUUAUCAUAAAUCUUUAUGCAUGACUAAUAAAUAAUUGAUUCAAUCGAUUAAGGUCGUUCUUCUCGACUAAAAGAUUUUAAGUUCGAGUUCUGUCGAUGAUUAUUUAUUAGGGUCAUCUCGAAUGCAUGAUUUACAGUCACUUAUCUUAAACUGUUAGAUAUAAUAUAUCUUAUCUUGAUUUAAAAAAUUAAACAAUUUAUCUAUCUAAAUUAAAAUAAUAAUAAUAAUAAUAAUCUUAGCCCUCCACUAGCCGCAACUAAUAAAGAGCAUUAAAAAAAUAAACUCGUUCAUCCGCACGUAUGUUUAAUUUGCUUUCCCUCGAUCACGCAUCUUGGCCCUCCCCCUAAUUACAACUAAAAAACAGCAUUAAAAAGAAACUCAUUCUUAAUUUAUGCCAAUUUAGUCUAAACCAUUAGCUUUAAUUCCUAUAUAAAGGAUCUCCAGCUACACUUGGCUACAGACAGCCAUUUUACUACUAGAAAUGGAGUGCAAGAAGCUUGUUUUUCUCUUUGUUGCGAUGGUAUUGGCGGUGGUACUUGUAGCCACGGUAACUCCAACUUGAUUCGCCGCUCGUAAUGAGAAACCCUUUCGCCAGCAUUUUCAUGGUCGGUAAAAGUGGUGGAGACUGCCGCAUUGCCGGUGGCUUUGGCAUGUUUACACCCAUGGAUUGUUGUGGCAGUUGCUGAUGUCUUUAUCCUGCUGAGGUUUGCUUCGGGACAGGCUGCUAAAGGGUUCGCAGUUCCAAAGAAAAAUAAAUAAUAUCAACAUAUUCUAGUCCAAUAAUGAUUUUUUUGUGACAAUGAUUUAACUGUUGCAAAAAGGUUGUUGCUAAUGUUGCCUUUGUGAUUAUGACAGUUGGUAUUUAGUAUAUUUAUUAUCGCUGCCUUGUGAUUUUAAAUUAUUAUAAAUAAAAGAAUAAUUCGUUAGUUUUAAGUUAAAUGUCACCGCUAUCACUUUACUAAUUUGGUACUCUUUACGUUUAUUUAAUUGGCUAUAUAGUUGGGUCAAGAUUCCUUUAGUUAAUCUAUUCUUUUCCAUUGGCAUUUGAAUGUAAAAUAGAAUUUCUUGUUUCGAUUAUAGAAUAAAAAUAAAAGUGAAUGCUUUCAAGGGAAUUUUCAUUAUUUUAAAUUUAAAUCAUAAAAUGACAAAAUAAAAUGACCUAUUAUCGUAACGUGUUCAAAAAAUUUUUUAUUAAUUUGAAUUAAAUUAUUAACAAAAAUAAAAUAAAAUAUAUCAUUGAACAUUUAAUUAUGAUCGUAUUUUUAAAAUAUUCGUUAUCCAAAAUAAACAGAUGUUUAAGAGUAUGAUUUUGUCACGGAUCGAGAAUUUAAGCUUAAUUACCAGGCAACUUUAGACAGAAAACUACCAUUCGUAGACCUAAUUAAGCCUUUAACCAGAUCGAGUGAGUGUGCCACUCCCCAAGGGCUAGUCGGGUCUUAGUGAAGUUUCAAUUCUUCCUGAUGCUUCGCCCUCAUCAUCUUGAGCAAAUCUCGUCAUGUGACCAUCUCAGACUCGUGUGCGGUCCAUGAUAAUUCAGCAUCGGUAACUUGAGCAAUCCGUGAUGAGAUUUGCUACAUUGCCUCCAAAUUAUGAAAGCAUUCAUUAUGCUAUCCUUGGAAAGAAUUUAAGAAAAACAACCAUUGAAGUUUAGAUUCAUCUAUUAACAGUACAUUAUUGACUAAAAGACAUACAAGAUUUGCAUAGGACCAAACAAAAAGCCUGCUUGAUAGAUUUUAAAAGACAGAAAAACUAACUAUAGGGGCAGAAGCAAGUUUCCUCCAUGUCACUGCCACAACUCAAAGCUAAGCCUCCAUAACUGAUCAUACAUACAUUACCAAAAACACAUAUUGAUGGAUGCUCAUUAAAAUCAAUAUUGUGUUCUUCCAUCACCCUCUGUGAUCACAUCUUUAAAAGCCCCUCCGCUAGGGAUCAUAGGCAGGACGUGUUCUUGAUGGGGGACAAUUACAUCUAGUAAGUAAGGUCCGGGAGUGUCCAACAUUUUCUGAAUUGCUGCUCUGAGAUUUCCUUCCUUGUCACACGAGCAGCAGGUAUUCCACAUGCUUCAGCAAAUUUCAACAUAUUUGGGAAUAUUUCAGAUUCAUUAGAUGGGUCACCCAAAUACGUAUGUGCCCUGUUUGCCUUGUAAAAUCGAUCCUCCCAUUGAACAACCAUGCCCAAAUGCUGAUUAUUUAACAACAAUAUCUUAAUGGGAAGAUUUUCCACACGGACAGUCGCCAACUCUUGGACGUUCAUGAUGAAACUUCCAUCACCAUCAAUGUCAACAACAACAGCACCGGGAUUUGCAACAGCAGCUCCAACGGCAGCAGGCAAUCCAAAUCCCAUGGCCCCCAAUCCCCCUGAUGUCAACCAUUGACGAGGCUUCCGAUACUUGUAAAACUGAGCAGCCCACAUCUGAUGCUGACCAACACCAGUGCUUAUAAUCGCAUUCCCAUUGGUUAAUUCAUCAAGAACCUGAAUUGCAUAUUGAGGUGGAAUAGCUUCACCAAAGGUCUUGUAAUUCAAUGGGUAUUUCAGCUUCUGCUCGUUUAACUCCUGCCUCCAAGCUGAAUAAUCGAGUUUAAGCUCAGCUCCCUUACUCUCCAAUAUCCUGUUCACCCCCUUCAAUGCCAAUUUGACAUCUGAACACACCGACACAUGAGGCUGCUUAUUCUUCCCAAUCUCGGCUGAAUCAAUAUCAAUAUGAACAAUCUUGGCCCGGCUGGCAAAAGCCUCAAGUUUUCCUGUCACCCGAUCAUCAAACCUUACUCCAAAAGCAAGUAACAAAUCACUCUUAUCCACAGCAUAAUUAGCAUACACAGUUCCAUGCAUCCCAAGCAUUUGUAAUGACAACUCAUCCGGGCUCGGAAACGUUCCAAGGCCCAUCAAAGUACUUGCAACAGGUAUCCCUGUAAGCUCAACAAACCUCUUCAACUCCUCACUGGAGUUCAAACACCCACCACCAACAUACAACACUGGCUUCUUAGAUUCGGAAACCAACCUCACAAUCUGCUCCAAAUGAGCCUCACCGGGAGGCUUAGGCAACCUAGAGAGAUACCCUGACAAUCUAAUAGGCUGGUCCCAUUUAGGAACAGCAAGCUGCUGUUGUAUAUCCUUAGGUACAUCAAUCAAAACAGGACCUGGCCUGCCCGAGGUAGCUAAAAAGAAAGCCUCACUAACAAUCCUAGGAAUAUCAUCCACAUCAAGAACAAGAUAGUUAUGCUUUGUAAUAGACCUUGUUACCUCAACAAUAGGAGUCUCUUGGAAAGCAUCCGUACCGAUC